Molecule: ribosomal RNA, 253 nt
Filed under: uncultured bacterium
Lineage: Bacteria
Description: partial 16S ribosomal RNA
Rfam family: Bacterial small subunit ribosomal RNA
Source: RNAcentral
UACGUAGGGCGCAAGCGUUAUCCGGAAUUAUUGGGCGUAAAGGGCGCGUAGGCGGCUUUGCGUGUCUUUCGUGAAAUCCCUCGGCUCAACUGAGGACGUGCGGAAGAAACUGCAGGGCUGGAGUCCGGGAGAGGAGGGUGGAAUUCCCAGUGUAGCGGUGAAAUGCGUAGAUAUUGGGAGGAACACCGGUGGCGAAGGCGGCCCUCUGGACCGGUACUGACGCUGAUGCGCGAAAGCGUGGGGAGCAAACGGG